Bombus terrestris (buff-tailed bumblebee) is the source of this 4192-nucleotide RNA transcript. It is a transcript of the gene named ornithine decarboxylase, with no coding region annotated. The transcript is spliced from 10 exons. The record is from RefSeq and is a predicted model, not a curated record. NCBI's taxonomy places the organism in Eukaryota, Metazoa, Arthropoda, Insecta, Hymenoptera, Apidae.
AUUUACGAACCUUUCCGGGAGCUCCUGCUCGGUGUGGCGUGUCCGUGGGAGGAAGUUCUGCGGUUUUACUAGGUUUUGCGAGUUCUUAACGAAAUUAAAUACGAUUUACGAGUUAUUACGAUUGGCGCGUUGAUGUUCUUUCGUAACUCGUAAGUUACGAUUGAAUAAACGAAUGUUCUUUCUCGAUUCUUUUAACGGGGACUUGGUCGCGAGAAAAUUCGACAGGCACUGGUCGCAACACGAACGAAGCUUCAACCUUCAUCGAUCGAUUUGACUGAUUUUUGAGAUCCAGUCACCGAAAACUUCCAUCAUUCCGUCAAAAACCGAGUGCCGACCCGCAGGGUGGCGAUCAUUUGAUAAGGGUUCUAUCUACAAUAGGCUGGUAGGCCAGUCUAUUGGUGGGUGUGUAGAUAACUGCGGCAACUGGAAGUUGGCCCUGAACGCAGAGCCCCCGUGGCUUUGCUAGCACCCCCAUAGUGAUCUUGUCUUAACCCGCUUCCUCACGACUCACCCAAUUCUCAUUGACAGCUGCCUCUUUGCUGCCUAGCACCUACAGAGUAUUUAUAAAAAAUUUACAAAAUAGUCAAUAUGAAGGUAACAAAUCUGGAUGAACGUAUUCAUGUUUUGGACAGUGCGUCAAAUGUUACGACCGUCAUCAAAGACAUUGCACUGAGUGGAAUGCAAGAAGAAGCUUUUUAUGUGCUUGACAUUGGUGACAUUGUACGUAAACAUCAGAUAUGGAAGGAAAAAAUGCCACGCGUCAGCCCUUAUUACGCUGUAAAAUGUAAUGACAACUUAGUUGUGAUUGAGGUAUUGGCUGCUCUUGGUAUUGGUUUUGAUUGUGCAUCAAAAUCGGAGAUUAAUAAAGUAUUAAGUGUUGGAGUAGACUCGUCGAGAAUUAUCUUUGCCAAUCCUGCUAAGCCAGCAUCACAUAUCCGUCAUGCUGCUGCUGUUGGAGUUGAUGCUAUGACAGUAGAUAAUGAAAGCGAGUUACAUAAGAUUAAGAAACUUCAUCCAAGUGCCAAGGUUGUUAUUAGAAUUCGUUGUGAUGCAGAAGUUGCUCAGUGUCAGUUAGGCAUGAAAUUUGGUUGUGAUCCCAUAUAUGAAGCACCCAAUCUUUUACGUCUUGCGCGUGUUUUGGGACUCAAUGUCAUCGGUAUUAGUUUCCAUGUUGGAUCUGGUUGUCAGGAUCCACCUGUAUUUUAUCGAGCUAUACGCGAAUCCAAGAUAUUGUUUGACUUAGCAACUGAUCUUGGUUUCAAGCCAUAUCUACUAGACAUUGGCGGUGGUUAUCCUGGAAAUAAGGGCACUAGCAUUGAUAAAAUUGCUAAUGUCGUUAAUGAUGCACUCGACGAAUUCUUUAAUACCGAUGCUGUUCACAUAAUCGCUGAACCUGGUCGUUUUUAUGUUGCCUCGGCAUUUACUCUUGCAACCAGUAUUCAUAGUAAGCGUUCAGUGCGUGGCGAUGAAAAUUCACCAAAUACGAUUACGCACAAUAUGUACUACAUUAAUGAUGGCGUUUAUGGCUCUUUCAAUUGUCUACUCUAUGAUCAUCAACAUGUAACUCCAAUACCUCUAAAGAAAGGUUGUGGAAAGAUGAUUCCCUCAAGUAUUUGGGGACCAACUUGUGAUGGUUUGGAUCAAGUUGUAGAAAACGUUAUGUUACACGAAAUGGAACUCGGCGAUUGGAUAAUUUUUGAAAAUAUGGGAGCAUACACGUUACCGGUUGCUUCUCCAUUUAAUGGAUUUCCUGUGCCUAAAGUUCAUAUCGUCGCUGAUGAAACCAUUUGGCAUUUGUUAAAAGACGCUUUGCCUUUGACCGAAGAGCAUUUUGUUAUUGGUAAUACUCCAGCUAAUUUACGGCUUGGUCUGGAUAUUGGUGGAACUGAUACCAAUGCAUGGCAUAAUCCAAACAUUGAACUGACAUCGACUGAAAUGUUAGCCGACGUUACUAAUCCACCAGCAGCAUACAUUUACGAUUACCUCGAAGUUGAUCUUUAAAUUAGCGCAGGCAUACUACGAUAACAACAAAUAUGUUAAAACAGCUACUCCACAUUUGUAGCGAGAAACCACAUCUUCAUUUUGAACGUAGAUAUUAUGGUAUAAUUCGAAACUAGGUUUUUUGUAAGGUUUGUGAUUUUGCAUUUUAUAUUUAUCUUGACGAGUUUGUAGGCGAAAAAUGUAAUAUUAUUUCCGCUUCUAUUCCAAUGAAAGCUUGGAGCGUUACUAAUAUUUGGUGCCAUCUUUGAAAAGCUGAAUUGUUUAUACUUUUUGUUUUUGUUAAAAGACUAAAAACGUGCAAAUUAUUUCAAUUAAUGCAGAAUGUGCAAUUGCUGCUAAAUAAUUAAAGAGUAGAAUGUAUAAAUUAAAGUCAAAUCUUCAAAAUUGAUUUAUUAUUGAAAAAUAUUUUCAGUACUACCGUAGAUAUUAUUCUACUACAUGACAUGUUAAAAUAUUUUCGUAGGAAUAUUUAUAUAUGCUUUUAGAAAUAGUUUUCCUCAUAUAUUGACUUCCAAAAUAUUCAAAAUAAUGUUUAUUGACCUUUUCCAUGGGUAUCUACGAUUUGCACGUUUAAUAUAGGGAAAAGUUUCAGGUUAUUUUUAUAUAAAUCAUAUAAAUAUGAGUUAAUAGAAAAUUUAGCUAACAAAAAUGGUAAUUUUAAUUUUCGCAAUCAUUUUUAUGAACGAUUGACGUCCAUGCUUAUGGUAAAUAAUGUUUUAUGUGGUUUUUUGAUAUUAAUCUCAAAUAUACAUAAUUUGUAUGAGAUAUAUAAAAAAAACAAGAGUAGUAGCCUUGUGUAAGGGUUUAAAUGUCGAGACAUUUAUCUAUAUAUAUAUAUAUAUCUAUAAACUAUUCAAAUAAUCAUUGUUACUUAACACAUGAUUAACAAAAAGUGAAGAAAAUGUAAAAAAAAAGUUACGAGGGAAAUGUAAUGUAGCAUUGAAGGUGACGUACGUGUCCAACAUAUGUAUAAUGAUAUAAGCACAAAAAGUUCACUAUCUCUCUCGAAUUAAUUUUGUUCAUUUAAAAUAUCAAAAAAAAAAAAUAUAAACUCUGUAGGAUUGUUAGGAUCUUUAGGGCACUGAGGCAGCUGUCACAGAAAGAAAAGAUAAUUAGUUUCUUAUUAAUUAUUACUCUUAUUAUAUUAUAUGUCGACUAUUAUUAUUGUUAAUUAAUUAUUAUUAACGAAUAAAUAUAUGUAAUGAAAUAUAUAAAAUCAAAUCAAUGUGCUUUCAGUUCUUAUUUCUUCUUCGUUUCGUAGAUUUAGAUAUCGGUUGAUUGAUAUACACUACGUGUGAUUCAAAGAUAAAUACGGUUUUAAGAAUAUCUAAUCAUGACAACGACUGACAUGGAAUUAUCAUGGAAUUUAUUGAAAUUAGAAAUCUUGAACACUUGAAGUAUAUUAUCGGCCAACGUAUCAGCUAGGAAUAACUGAUUAUAAAGUUUGUCGACCAAUAACCUUAUAAAACUAAAUAUGGAAAUGUGUAUAUACUAAAUUUAUCAUCUUGUAACAUUGACACGCGCGUAAAUUAUCUCGAUUAUCGCUUUAGAUGCCGCUACCUGCGAGAUAAGAUCUGUGUGUGUGUGUGUCAAAGAUCGAUGACAAGACAUCAAUUGCCAGACUUUUAUAACACUGGAACCGUGGUUACGGAUUAGAAUCGAUUUCUUUGUAAUUCGAAGAAAAAGCCGGUGGAGAAGAAAAGUUGAUGAAUCACUAAAGUGGAUACUGGAGGAUUACAAGAUUUCUGUUUCUCACUGUAACCAGUAGGAAGGUGAAAUCCUUUGCGAAAUCAUUAGUUUUCGAUUUUGCGAGAUCUCGAGAGACGAUUGAGUUGAAUGGAGGAGCGUAACGGUAAUAACAAAAAACGAUUACUUUACAUCGAUACCUGGAUAGGUUGCAAAAAACAUUUGUCACAGACGUCAACAUGGCGGAACAACUUUUUGUGUAGCCAAUAGUAUUUCAUUCUGUCGAGAUAUUAGUGCAUGAUAUUGUUACAGAUUUUUAAGUGGUAAGUAGUUACAUGAUGCAAAAGAUUCAGAUUUAAUGAUUUGAAGAUACAACAGGAAGCUAUAUUUCUAGAAAAAAAAACUAGAUUAAAUAUAUCGAUAUCUAGGUUUAAGAAACUUGGAGUAUCGAAUAGUCUUGUGUAUUGAGAACAAUAUUAAAACAAAGGAUUUUGUAAAUUGUCAA